GACGUAGGGGGCGAGCGUUGUCCGGAUUUAUUGGGCGUAAAGCGUGCGUAGGCGGCUGCGCAAGUCGGGUGUGAAACCCCGGGGCUCAACCCCGGAACUGCAUCCGAUACUGCGUGGCUAGAGGUAGGUAGGGGAGAUCGGAAUUCCUGGUGUAGCGGUGAAAUGCGCAGAUAUCAGGAGGAACACCAAUGGCGAAGGCAGCUCGCUGGGACGUGACUGACGCUGAGACACGAAAGCGUGGGGAGCAAACAGG
Molecule: ribosomal RNA, 253 nt
Filed under: uncultured bacterium
Lineage: Bacteria
Description: partial 16S ribosomal RNA
Rfam family: Bacterial small subunit ribosomal RNA
Source: RNAcentral